AUUGAACGCUGGCGGCAGGCCUAACACAUGCAAGUCGAGCGGCAGCGGAAAGUAGCUUGCUACUUUGCCGGCGAGCGGCGGACGGGUGAGUAAUGUCUGGGGAUCUGCCUGAUGGAGGGGGAUAACUACUGGAAACGGUAGCUAAUACCGCAUAACGUCGCAAGACCAAAGAGGGGGACCUUCGGGCCUCUUGUCGUCAGAUGAAACCAGAUGGGGUUAGCUAGUAGGUGGGGUAACGGCUCACCUAGGCGACGAUCCCUAGCUGGUCUGAGAGGAUGAACAGCCACACUGGAACUGAGACACGGUCCAGACUCCUACGGGAGGCAGCAGUGGGGAAUAUUGCACAAUGGGCGCAAGCCUGAUGCAGCCAUGCCGCGUGUAUGAAGAAGGCCUUCGGGUUGUAAAGUACUUUCAGCGAGGAGGAAGGCGUUAAGGUUAAUAACCUUAGCGAUUGACGUUACUCGCAGAAGAAGCACCGGCUAACUCCGUGCCAGCCGCCGCAGUAA
This 506-nucleotide ribosomal RNA is filed under the name uncultured bacterium. Its description in RNAcentral is "partial 16S ribosomal RNA". It matches the Rfam family "Bacterial small subunit ribosomal RNA", at positions 30 to 523 of the family's 1533-position model. The record is from RNAcentral.